RNAcentral lists this transfer RNA (611 nucleotides) under uncultured Prochlorococcus sp. RNAcentral describes it as "partial contains 16S ribosomal RNA, 16S-23S ribosomal RNA intergenic spacer, and 23S ribosomal RNA". The stretch from base 227 to 299 matches the Rfam family "tRNA". Lineage: Bacteria; Bacillati; Cyanobacteriota; Cyanophyceae; Synechococcales; Prochlorococcaceae. The record is from RNAcentral.
UGGAUCACCUCCUAACAGGGAGACAACAAAAUGUUUAAUAUUAUUAUUUUGUCACCUUAGGUCGAUCGGUAUCUCACGUUCUUAAUUUAUUAAGAAUUUCAUUUCCUAAGUUUUUCUAGGUCACACCCAUUAUUUUUCCUGGGCCAUUAGCUCAGGUGGUUAGAGCGCACCCCUGAUAAGGGUGAGGUCCCUGGUUCAAGUCCAGGAUGGCCCAUAUCUCUAUGUUGGGGGUAUAGCUCAGUUGGUAGAGCGCCUGCUUUGCAAGCAGGAUGUCAGCGGUUCGAGUCCGCUUACCUCCACUGAUUACCACCUCUUCCAUAACCGGUAGAAAGGAAAUUUUUUGAGUUGUGAUUAUUAUUCUGAACGAAUCUAGCUUCCUAAUGAAAUCAUUAAGAUGCUGGACUCAUUGAAUUAAUUUCAUUGUUUUCAGAGAACCUUGACAACUGCAUAGAUUAUUUUUAAAGACAAUAAGCAUCUUUAAUGAUGCAGAUUUAUUAUUUGUGCGAAUGCAUUAAUAACAAUUCUAUUGAGCUGAUGCUUCAAUUUUGAAGUUAUUGGUCAAGCUACAAAGGGCUCACGGAGGAUACCUAGGCACACAGAGGCGAUGAAGG